Schizosaccharomyces pombe (fission yeast) is the source of this 2137-nucleotide non-coding RNA. Lineage: Eukaryota; Fungi; Ascomycota; Schizosaccharomycetes; Schizosaccharomycetales; Schizosaccharomycetaceae. The record is from the annotation of a GenBank genome assembly.
CUAAAGGGGUAUCGGCAAUCCAAUCCUUCGACUCUUCCUUUUGCAUAAACUUGGAUCCAACUUCAUCGUGCGGGACUGUAUCGAAGGAGAAUCCAACUGAGGAAGGAAGAAACAAAUGUGCUAUUAAAAUUCUCCCCAUGUAAACCGAUUACUUAAACAAGUGCGUCUAUAACCAGUGCUGAAUAUCCAAAAACUUGGGAAUGGAGUGGUUGGUAAAGGGCAAGUUUGAAAGAGCAAUUGUGCAUGAGAUCAUUUACAUUCAUGCACUGUGUAACGACGAGAGUAUUCGCUGAAAGAAAUAGAAAAUUCGGCGAACGAUGCGGUAAACGCAGAAACGUGGGGAAUGACAAGGAAGAGGGGUAUGUGCAAAAGAUGAAGGUGAGCGAUUCGAUGAUGGAAUUAGCGGGAACCUUCUAGUAAGGCAAGGCAAGGAAGAGAGAGAAGGGAAGCAAGCCAGAUCACAAGAGGAACAAACCGUGGAAAUAUAAAAAAUUUAGAUCUCAAAAAGCAGAAAUUGGCAUAUCUUUUUGCGCCCUUUUCUUCCAAACACGGCUAAAAAAAAGCGAAUGAAUGGGAUAUUUUGCUAGGAAAAUCCCAAAUUAGCUAUCGCCAAACGUCAGUGCCAAAAGUGAACAGUUUUGAAAAUAACGAAAUGUACUGUGGUACGCAAUUCGCCUUUGAAACAAAGGAAGGAAGGAAAGUGGGUCCGAGUGGGGGCCCGGAUGGCGAUGGGGUGAUGAAUGAUAGGGAUGGGAUGGGAAAGAACAGUCGGAAGCAAAAAAAAAAAGAAAAAAGAACGAAUGGGGGUCAUUAAGAGGUCUCAACGGUUUGUCUUGACAAAUUCAUUAAUGGCCCCAAUGAAGUGGGAUAAUUUGGUCUUGGUUUAUGUGGGAUGCCGCUUUUCUGUUCUAGUGCGGUGGGCGAAAGAAUCCAAGGACGAAGUGGGGGACAAAGAUGUUUUAGUCUGUACGAUGGAAAGGCUGGUCAAGCUAGGCUAGGCUAGGCUAGGCUAAGCUAAGUAAAACCAAAAGGAAAUAAGGAACGUCAAGCCAUUGCCAAAGAAAAAAAAUAAGGAAUGCGAAAGGAUUUCGUUGUCCUUCUAAAGUUUCAAAGUUGGCAAUUGCAAAAUCACGAUAUGGAUGAACAACGUUAAGCUCUAGGGAACUUUCCAAGUAAGGUUAUUUCGCACGUCUGCAAGAAAAUAGUAUAUUUACAUAUAUAAUAUCAUUUAUGAUUUUACACCCAUCUUUCUACGAAGCAAACACAAUGGUUUAUGGUCGCACACUAAGAGAAUGUUGUAGACUAGUAGACAGCCAUUGAAGUUGAAAAAGAACUAUAAAAAAUUUUUAGACAAAAGGGAAAACAAAAGCAAAGAGAAAGGAGAAAAGAAAAGUCUACUAAAAUCAUAAAAUCUCGUUUAGUUUUUUUGUCGACUACGAAUUAGUAAGGAUUCUUGGGUAGAUCAUUCAAUUGUAGUGAAUUUCCUUUGAAACCAAGCUCAUCGGAACGAACUUUGCUACAAAUACCACUGCGAAACUGAAACUGGGAUUUCAUUGCAUAUUGUUGUUGUUCUUUACCCUGUUCGGCUUGUUUGUUUACAGAGCAGGCCGGAUGUGUAAAGUUGCGUAAUGUUGCGUAAUGUUGCAUAGCGGAAGGAAGUAUUGUAAGCUGCAACACGUAAUGCAUUGUUUUUAGUAACGUAAUGGGCUGUGUUAUGGAAUGAAGCGAUAGAGAUGCGUUAAUCGUUUUUGUUAAAGAGGGAGAACCCAUUGGAGCAAGAAAUAAUUAUUUGACUUUUAGGUUGAAAGCUAGCCUUUCCUUUCUUUCAUUCAUUGGCUUUUAGGUACGAGUAAAAGCCGAAGAUGAGAGCUAAAUGAUGAAAUGAAUAUUUUUGCUCCUAUCCCCUUUGGCCCUGUGUUCUAUCAUCAAAUGGCGUCAUCCUGAUAUCAUGCAUUGAGAGGUGCGAUGAAGUGAUAUGGAAAAAAGGAACGAAGGUUAAGUAAAGGAACAGUAUAGGAACCGAGUCGAGAGGAAGCAAAGAAUAAGGAAGGUUACUGAUCCAUUUAAGGCUGCGUAAAUCAUUAUAAGCCAUUGGCAAGGAUACGCUAAGUUUAGCAGAGAAUAGAGAAAAAAGAAA